GAUAAUGCUGGGAUGUGAUGGGGAGCGAAAUUUAGUAGCGAAGUAGCUGAUUUUCACACUGUCAAGAAAAGUCUCUAUCGAGGUUAAAGGUACCCGUACCGCAAACCGACACAGGUGGGUGAGGAGAGUAUCCUAAGGCCAGCGAGAGAACUGUUGUUAAGGAACUCGGCAAAAUGACCCCGGUAACUUAGGGAUAAGGGGGUGCCACCAUCAGGUGGCCGCAGAGAAUAGGCCCAAGCGACUGUUUACCAAAAACAUAGGUUUCUGCUAAGUCGCAAGACGAUGUAUAGGAGCUGACGCCUGCCCGGUGCUGGAAGGUUAAGGGAAUCUGUUAGAGCAAUCGAAGCAGUGAACUUAAGCCCCAGUAAACGGCGGCCGUAACUAUAACGGUCCUAAGGUAGCGAAAUUCCUUGUCGGGUAAGUUCCGACCCGCACGAAAGGCGUAACGAUUUGGGCACUGUCUCAACAACAGACUCGGUGAAAUUGUAAUUCCGGUGAAGAUGCCGGAUACCUGCGACAGGACGGAAAGACCCCAUGGAGCUUUACUGUAGCUUGACAUUGGGUCUUGGUACUACAUGUACAGGAUAGGUGGGAGGCUUUGAAACCAGGACGCCAGUUUUGGCGGAGCCAUCCUUGGGAUACCACCCUUGUAGUACUGGGACUCUAACCAUAGGCCAUGAAUCUGGUCUUGGGACACUGUCAGGUGGGCAGUUUGACUGGGGCGGUCGCCUCCCAAAAGGUACGGAGGCGCUCAAAGGUUCUCUCAGUACGGUCGGAAAUCGUACGUAGAGUGUAAAGGCAAAAGAGAGCUUGAUUGCAAGACAUACAGGUCGAGCAAGGAUGAAAAUCGGACUUAGUGAUCCGGUGGUUCUGCGUGGAAGGGCCAUCGCUCAACGGAUAAAAGCUACCCUGGGGAUAACAGGCUUAUCUCCCCCAAGAGUCCACAUCGACGGGGAGGUUUGGCACCUCGAUGUCGGCUCAUCACAUCCUGGGGCUGUAGUAGGUCCCAAGGGUUGGGCUGUUCGCCCAUUAAAGUGGUACGCGAGCUGGGUUCAGAACGUCGUGAGACAGUUCGGUCCCUAUCCGUCGCAGGCGUAGGAAAUUUGAGAAGACCUGUCCUUAGUACGAGAGGACCGGGAUGGACGUACCUCUGGUGUACCAGUUGUCCUGCCAAGGGCAUGGCUGGGUAGCUAUGUACGGAAUGGAUAAGCGCUGAAAGCAUCUAAGCGCGAAGCCAACUUCAAGAUAAGAUUUCCCACCGCAAGGGUAAGACCCCAGAAAGACUAUCUGGUUGAUAGGUCGAAGGUGUAAGUGCAGCAAUGUAUUUAGCUUAUCGAUACUAAUAGGUCGAGGACUUGACCA
This 1362-nucleotide ribosomal RNA is filed under the name Clostridioides difficile DA00197. RNAcentral's name for it is "bacterial LSU rRNA". It matches the Rfam family "Bacterial large subunit ribosomal RNA", at positions 1549 to 2925 of the family's 2925-position model. The record is from RNAcentral. Lineage: Bacteria; Bacillati; Bacillota; Clostridia; Peptostreptococcales; Peptostreptococcaceae.